Molecule: ribosomal RNA, 253 nt
Filed under: uncultured bacterium
Lineage: Bacteria
Description: partial 16S ribosomal RNA
Rfam family: Bacterial small subunit ribosomal RNA
Source: RNAcentral
UACGGAGGGUGCAAGCGUUAUCCGGAUUCACUGGGUUUAAAGGGUGCGUAGGUGGGUCUGUAAGUCCGUGGUGAAAUCUCCGAGCUUAACUUGGAAACUGCCAUGGAUACUAUAAAUCUUGAAUACUGUGGAGGUUAGCGGAAUAUGUCAUGUAGCGGUGAAAUGCUUAGAUAUGACAUAGAACACCAAUUGCGAAGGCAGCUGGCUACACAAAUAUUGACACUGAUGCACGAAAGCGUGGGGAUCAAACAGG